UGGGGAAUAUUGGACAAUGGGCGAAAGCCUGAUCCAGCCAUGCCGCGUGUGUGAAGAAGGUCUUCGGAUUGUAAAGCACUUUAAGUUGGGAGGAAGGGCAGUAAGCGAAUACCUUGCUGUUUUGACGUUACCGACAGAAUAAGCACCGGCUAACUCUGUGCCAGCAGCCGCGGUAAUACAGAGGGUGCAAGCGUUAAUCGGAAUUACUGGGCGUAAAGCGCGCGUAGGUGGUUCGUUAAGUUGAAUGUGAAAGCCCCGGGCUCAACCAGGGAACGGCAUCCAAAACUGGCGAGCUAGAGUAGGGAAGAGGGUGGUGGAAUUUCCUGUGUAGCGGAGAAAUGCGUAGAUAUAGGAAGGAACACCAGUGGCGAAGGCGGCCACCUGGGCUCAUACUGACACUGAGGUGCGAAAGAGUGGGGAGCAAACAGG
This 429-nucleotide ribosomal RNA is filed under the name Pseudomonadota bacterium. RNAcentral's name for it is "Proteobacteria bacterium partial 16S ribosomal RNA". It matches the Rfam family "Bacterial small subunit ribosomal RNA", at positions 355 to 776 of the family's 1533-position model. The record is from RNAcentral. Lineage: Bacteria; Pseudomonadati; Pseudomonadota.